RNAcentral lists this ribosomal RNA (550 nucleotides) under uncultured bacterium. Its description in RNAcentral is "bacterial SSU rRNA". It matches the Rfam family "Bacterial small subunit ribosomal RNA", at positions 355 to 896 of the family's 1533-position model. The record is from RNAcentral.
UAGGGAAUCUUCGGCAAUGGACGGAAGUCUGACCGAGCAACGCCGCGUGAGUGAAGAAGGUUUUCGGAUCGUAAAGCUCUGUUGUAAGAGAAGAACGAGUGUGAGAGUGGAAAGUUCACACUGUGACGGUAUCUUACCAGAAAGGGACGGCUAACUACGUGCCAGCAGCCGCGGUAAUACGUAGGUCCCGAGCGUUGUCCGGAUUUAUUGGGCGUAAAGCGAGCGCAGGCGGUUAGAUAAGUCUGAAGUUAAAGGCUGUGGCUUAACCACAGUACGCUUUGGAAACUGUUUAACUUGAGUGCAAGAGGGGAGAGUGGAAUUCCAUGUGUAGCGGUGAAAUGCGUAGAUAUAUGGAGGAACACCGGUGGCGAAAGCGGCUCUCUGGCUUGUAACUGACGCUGAGGCUCGAAAGCGUGGGGAGCAAACAGGAUUAGAUACCCUGGUAGUCCACGCCGUAAACGAUGAGUGCUAGGUGUUAGACCCUUUCCGGGGUUUAGUGCCGUAGCUAACGCAUUAAGCACUCCGCCUGGGGAGUACGACCGCAAGGUUG